RNAcentral lists this transfer RNA (75 nucleotides) under Bacteroidota bacterium. RNAcentral's name for it is "Bacteroidetes bacterium (marine metagenome) tRNA-Asp". It matches the Rfam family "tRNA". Rfam says of the family: Transfer RNA (tRNA) molecules are approximately 80 nucleotides in length. Lineage: Bacteria; Pseudomonadati; Bacteroidota. The record is from RNAcentral.
GGUCUUUUAGCUUAAAGGUAGAGCACCUCCCUGUCACGGAGGGGGAUGUCGGUUCAAAUCCGUCAGGGAUCGCCA